Bemisia tabaci is the source of this 742-nucleotide non-coding RNA. The record is from the annotation of a RefSeq genome assembly. NCBI's taxonomy places the organism in Eukaryota, Metazoa, Arthropoda, Insecta, Hemiptera, Aleyrodidae.
UAUAAAUUUUAUUUUAGUUUAAAAGUUAGUAACUAUAUUAGAUGUAUAUGAAAUUAAAAUUUAAAAAUAUUAUAUUAUAAAAAUUUAACAUCUAAAAUUUUGAAACUAGUGUAAUCUAAUAAAAGAAUUUAUUUAAAUACCAACUAAUUAGGUGCCAGCAGUUGCGGUUAAACCUAAAGUCAACUAACUUACACGUCUAAAUAAAUUAUAUAAGUUAAAGAAGAUAUUUAAAGAUAAAUUUUAAGUAAGUGAAAUUUUUAAAAUUUCAAAAGCUCUUAAUAAUAAAGAUUUAGAUUUCUGUAAAAAACUAGGAUUAGAUACCCUACUAUUUAGAAAAGAUGAUAAUUAAGGUAGUAAAAGAUAGUCUUCAAACUUAAAAAAUUUGGCGGUAGCUUAACCUAACUAGAGGAAUCUGCCCUAUAAUUGACAAUCCACAAUCUGUUAAAUUUUAAAUAUAUAUAUUUAUAUAUCGCUGUUAAAUAUAAAUUAAAAAGUAGUUAUUUAAAAUUUGUUUAAACUCAGAAAAUCAAGUCAACACAUAAUUAUUAGAAAAUGAAGUGGAUUACAUUUAAAUUAAUUUAAUGAUAAACUAGAUAAUAAAAGCUUGAAAGGGAUUUAGAAGUAAAUUUAACCAGGUUGUUUAUUUGAAUUUGUUAUAGGCUAUGUACAAAUCGCCCGUCAUUCUUAUAUAAAUUAAGACAAGUCGUAACAAAGUAAAAUUACUGGAAAGUAAUAUUAGAUU